GGCAAAGAAAAGUGGCAAUGCCCUGGCUCAAACCGUCUGCGAGAUUAAAAAAUGCAGAAUGUAACUUAAAAAAGAAAAAAGAAAAGAAAGCAAAUCUGAGCUAAUUGCCGGCUGCAAUUUUAUAUCUGCUCUUAUUUUCGACAUGAAAAUAUGAAAUCAUUCAAUUAUUAUGACAUACGCAGAGAGAGAAAGAGAGAAAAGUCACAUCAGAUUUGCCUGGCCACAAAUUCAUUCAUUCUUUUAACGGAGAAGGGGAAAGAAAGAAAGGGGAAGAAAAAAAAGAUCGCAGUGGUCUAUGGAGUGGGACGAAUUAAAACCCUCCUUCUGGCGCCUGAAAUACCCGAACUUGCUCUUUGAAAUAAUCACUCGUUGAAUCCGUACCAGAUACGUGUGAAACAGCAAAGCAAAAGCACUUGUCCGGUGGUUACCGGGUAUUUCCCUGCCUCCUCCUUGUGUAUGUUUCCCCUCCUGUCUCUCCUUGUGUGUCCCCCUCUCGGAGGUCGUUGCCUCGAUGCCUUCCCUAAUAGGUAUCGCACCCGUAUGUUUUCUUCUUUGGACUUGCCGCCCUUAGAGGGGCUCUCCCUAUGUAUGUAACCCCAUUGCAUGGGUUCCUUUGUACCCAUAUUGUGUUAUCCCCCCACCCCGCAUGUUUAUCCCUGGUGCUAUAUGUUUCCCUGCUGCCUGCCCUUGUACCAUCCCUCCUUCCCCCCGGUGCUCUGCACCGCAUGUUUCCUUGCGGCUCCCCCUUGUACGUUGCCCCCUCGUCGCUAACUUCGCCCAACUUUGGCAAAUGCCGCCUCGCACUCUGUCUCCAGCCCAGGAGCAAACUUCUCCCGAAGGGCCGUUUCUCUCCUCGCGGGAUCGCUCAGCCCGGAGAGUCGCCGCGGGAUCCCUGUGCUAAACGGGGCGCUUUGGAGACGAGGCAGCCAAGGCAAAAAGGCUAGCGGGGUUUUCUCUUUCUCUCUCUCCCUCUCCCACCGAGGCGGGCUGGGCAGGGACUCUGGCCCGCCCAGGAUGGAAGGGGAGCUGCUGCCUUCUUCCCUCUCGCCUCCACCGUUCUCGUGAGCGCUGGGAACUGGCCCGGGCUUUUGGGCUCCGCGCUGGAGCUGCUGCUGCUGCUGCCAGCGGCAGCGGCGCUAAAAGCAGGGAAGCUCCCACCCGAGGCUGCAGCUCAUUAAGGGUCACAGAGAUGGCAGCGAUAAGACCUGCUGCAGCUUAGACAAUAGGAGCCUACAGCAGACGUCUGUCUGUCCAGACAACAGACCACCCCCACCCCAAAGCAGCCCAGCGUCACCGCUUUGAGAUGCAGAGCAAGUAGAAGAGGUAGAACUGUGCAAGUCCCUCAGACCUGCUUGUGUGAGAGAGGUACUGCAAUGUACUUUGGCACUUGAGCUGCUGAUGUUUAUGGUCACUAAGGUCUACGGACUACUGGGGCCAUUGUCCACAGGCGGCGCCUUACGCUUUUUGGACAUGUCGCAAGGAUGCCACAAGACGUUUCAGCGAACGCCGUUCUCCGGGUGGCUUGUAACAUCCAGAAUAAAAUUCCACCAAACGAGGAGUGGAGGCAGCCCAGAGGCAGACCCCUUAUUACAUGGGUUCAUCAAGUCUGUUCCGAUGUUGGACUGUCAGGCCGUCAAGCCUUUACAUUUGCGCAGGAACAGUCCAAAUGGCGAAGAUUGCUAUGGCCGACUAUCUUACUAAGUGUUGAAGAAAAAGAAUAAUAUAAUGACCUGUAUUGGAAUUUGGCCAGGAUACCAGGGCUAACAACCCUUUUGUGAAAGAUAAAUGCCAUUGGAUUAUUAAUACGGCCUUACCGAAUUCAUGGUCCAUUUUGGUCAAUUUCACUGU
This is a long non-coding RNA of Chrysemys picta bellii (western painted turtle), 1848 nucleotides long. RefSeq lists it as uncharacterized. NCBI's taxonomy places the organism in Eukaryota, Metazoa, Chordata, Testudines, Emydidae. The record is from RefSeq and is a predicted model, not a curated record.